CCUACGGGAGGCAGCAGUGGGGAAUAUUGGGCAAUGGGCGCAAGCCUGACCCAGCAACGCCGCGUGAAGGAAGAAGGCUUUCGGGUUGGAAACUUCUUUUGUCAGGGACGAAGCAAGUGACGGUACCUCACGAAUAAGCCACGGCUAACUACGUGCCAGCAGCCGCGGUAAUACGUAGGUGGCAAGCGUUAUCCGGAUUUACUGGGUGUAAAGGGAGUGUAGGCGGGGAGGCAAGUCAGAUGUGAAAACCACGGGCUCAACCUGUAGCCUGCAUUUGAAACUGUUUUUCUUGAGUGCUGGAGAGGCAAUCGGAAUUCGGGGUGUAGCGGUGAAUUGCGUAGAUAUACGGAGGAACACCAGUGGCGAAGGCAGAUUGCUGGACAGUAACUGACGCUGAGGCGCGAAAGCGUGGGGAGCAAACAGGAUUAGAUACCCCUGUAGUC
This 443-nucleotide ribosomal RNA is filed under the name uncultured bacterium. RNAcentral's name for it is "partial 16S ribosomal RNA". It matches the Rfam family "Bacterial small subunit ribosomal RNA", at positions 338 to 795 of the family's 1533-position model. The record is from RNAcentral.